UGGGGAAUAUUGGACAAUGGGCGCAAGCCUGAUCCAGCAAUGCCGCGUGGGUGAAGAAGGUCUUCGGAUUGUAAAGCCCUUUCGGCGGGGACGAUGAUGACGGUACCCGCAGAAGAAGCCCCGGCUAACUUCGUGCCAGCAGCCGCGGUAAUACGAAGGGGGCUAGCGUUGCUCGGAAUUACUGGGCGUAAAGGGCGCGUAGGCGGCGCGCACAGUCAGGGCGUGAAAUUCCUGGGCUUAACCUGGGGGCUGCGCUUGAUACGUGCGUGCUAGAGGAUGGAAGAGGCUCGUGGAAUUCCCAGUGUAGAGGUGAAAUUCGUAGAUAUUGGGAAGAACACCGGUGGCGAAGGCGGCGAGCUGGUCCAUUACUGACGCUGAGGCGCGACAGCGUGGGGAGCAAACAGGAUUAGAUACCCUGGUAGUCCACGCCGUAAACGAUGUGCGCUGGAUGUUGGGUGGCCUAGCCACUCAGUGUCGUAGCCAACGCGGUAAGCGCACCGCCU
Molecule: ribosomal RNA, 503 nt
Filed under: uncultured bacterium
Lineage: Bacteria
Description: bacterial SSU rRNA
Rfam family: Bacterial small subunit ribosomal RNA
Source: RNAcentral